GCAUUUGGUGGAUGCCUUGGCGAUAACAGGCGAUGAAGGACGUUGUAGUCUGCGAUAAGCCUCGGGGAGCUGACAAACAAGCUUUGAUCCGAGGAUUUCCGAAUGGGGAAACCCACCGCACUCGUGCGGUAUCCGCAUCUGAAUACAUAGGAUGUGUGAAGCGAACCCGGGGAACUGAAACAUCUAAGUACCCGAAGGAAAGGACAUCAAUUGAGACUUCCCUAGUAGCGGCGAGCGAACGGGAACCAGGCCAGUGUCUCUUCUUGAGUCAGCGGAACGAUCUGGAAAGUUCGGCCAUAGCGGGUGAUAGCCCCGUACGUUAAAGCGAUUGAAGAGACCUUGAGUAGGGCGGGACACGUGAAAUCCUGUCUGAACAUGGGGGGACCACCCUCCAAGCCUAAGUACUCCUUACCAACCGAUAGUGAACCAGUACCGUGAGGGAAAGGCGAAAAGAACCCC
Molecule: ribosomal RNA, 459 nt
Filed under: Chattonella subsalsa
Lineage: Eukaryota; Raphidophyceae; Chattonellales; Chattonellaceae
Description: partial Bacterial large subunit ribosomal RNA
Rfam family: Bacterial large subunit ribosomal RNA
Source: RNAcentral